Molecule: long non-coding RNA, 992 nt
Filed under: Pan troglodytes (chimpanzee)
Lineage: Eukaryota; Metazoa; Chordata; Mammalia; Primates; Hominidae
Description: long non-coding RNA NONPTRT008170
Source: RNAcentral
CUGUCCCAGUGGGUCUGUUCUGGUUUCACCCCGAGCCCAGCAGGAGUGGAGUAAAGGGAGAAGGUUAAUAUGGUGGGAGUCUGGAGUUGGAAUUGGCCGGGGACAGAGUUUAGAAUGCAGGGAUUCAGGGUCAAGGUCUAGCAUUCAUUCUAGAAGUUACUUGACAGCCAUCAGCCAGUUACGCUACAGCCAUCAGCUAGUUCCCAUCGUUGCUUUCAUGGGGCUUGAGGUCUUUGAGGGGCAGGAGAUGAAGCUGGUGAGGUUGUGAGCUGGGCCAGGGCUUUGAGGACAACCUGGAGCUGGAAGAACAUGCGACCACCUCAGGGAGGGUCAGGGAAGGAUGAGUGGGGAGGUGGCCCAUGUCCUGCAAGGGCCUUGCUGAUGGGAUGUCCCGAAGGGCUGGGCAGCCUUAGAUCGGGCUAAGAGGGCAGGACUAUGGGCCAGUGCCAGAGCCAGGCUUGUCUGUUCUCAAAGGAUCAGCCUCCUUUGGGGGACAUUUUGUGUCAAGGAUAGGGCUGAGGACCUGCGUUCUGAACGUCUUUCCUGGGAUUCUUGACAGCCAAAGAAAUUCGAGGAUCGCCUCUAUGAAGGUGCCAGGGAAACGGAGUCAUCGACCCAAGAAGGUCGUGGGAGAUGAGGUCCCAGGGUAAACAGCGGGUCCCGCCACUAUGUCACCCUUUCCUGCCGCCUCCCCGGAUGAACUGCAUGCAGGGCGGCCGGCUCCGUGGCAGGCAGAGGCAGGAAGAGGCGCGGAGCCCGCUCGUGGCGAAGAGGGGAGUGCGGCGGAAGGGGAGGGCGGCGGAAGGGGAGGGCAGAGGCAGGCGGCCGGUCGCGUGGGGCCUGGGCCGCCCCAGGAGGGCCUCUGGCUGGAUUCUUAGCAGAUGGAAGCCGUGCAAGGGCAGGAGGCAGGGGCCUGACGUGUUUGGAUUGAGGUUGCAGGAGGGGCCCCUGGCUGCUUCAGGGAGAAUAAUUUGGAGGCGAGCGGGGAGGUG